Molecule: long non-coding RNA, 1645 nt
Organism: Pogoniulus pusillus (Red-fronted tinkerbird)
Lineage: Eukaryota; Metazoa; Chordata; Aves; Piciformes; Lybiidae
Exons: 9
Source: RefSeq, a predicted model, not a curated record
GGAGCUUGAGGGAGAGGAACUAAACGGGAGCAUGGUUUUGCAGGAGGUGAAUGUGGCUGGAACUCCUCCGACGCAGGAGACUGAGCUGUGCUGCUGUCAGGUUCCUGUGGUUGGCAACGUGCAGGAUCAGCCCGGGCCGGAGGUGACUUACUGCCACGGCUCACCGUGCUCUGGGCAGGCUGCUCCAGGGUACUGGGGAGUUAACCUUCAGGAGACUGAGCUGGUGUCCCUGGAGAGCCUGACUGCACCCCACACUUGGCCUGUCCCUUUCUGGGUGCCUCUGGAUGGUAUUUUGCAGAGGUGGUGCUGAAGGACUGUCCAGUCUGGGAAGCAGGCAGGCUGAGAGGAUCACUCGAGGCUGUGAAGGAGGCAGCAGCAGGCUGGUGUAGAAGUUCUCUCCUCCAUGAGUUCAGAUCCUGCAUGGACAAGACAGUCUUCUCCCUCAUGCAUGGCUCCUGUUGUCUCUAGCUCCUGCUUUUCUUCAGCCUGCUGCAAGGUCUUGAAGAGAGAUGAUUCUUCCUCUUUACUCUGCCCUGCUGAGACCCCACCUCGAGUUCUGCAUCCAGUUCUGCUGUCCCCAGCGGAUCCAGCCUUUCCUCCAGGAAUGUUUGAUAAGGCAGCCUGCACUGCUGAGAUCACCCUUCUGGCAAGGGCCUGCUGUGGUGUGAGCCCCAGGCAUCUGCUUACUGCAGUCUCCAAGGCAACCCUCCAUGCUCUUCUCCUCUGGAAGCUCUGCCUAGCCGUAAGGAAGCUGUCAUCCUCCUUACUUUACCCUCCCUGCAUGCUCUCUGAGCUCGUUGCUGUCUGUAACCAGCUGUGCUUGCACAAGGUCUGGGCUGCCUUGAGGAUUGCUGGAGAUCUCAGCUAAGCCAUCUGCUGCAGGAAGGAUGUGUUCCAGAGGGAUCCCAAGGUGGAUCUAUCCUGCUCCUGUACCACACUAAUGCUCCUGCUGAAUGGUGGAGGAGCUGCUGUGCAUGGGCCCCAGCUCUGGUCAGCAUGGAUGGAGCCAGCUCUGAGACCUGAGCACAGAUCCUCCUGCAAGCCCUCCCAGCCCAGCCUCUGGUGCACCCUGCAUGAUUCAUCAGCUUUCACCAUCUCAGAGGACCUGUUUGCCUGCCCAUGGAGGGAACAGCACAUGGGGGCACAGAAAGUGGAACAAGCUCCUGCCAGUCUGAUACCAGCAUGAGGGAGUGAGUGUGCUGGGCUGUGGAGUGACUCCUGUGGGUUUCUAGCAGGGCAAGGUGCUUCUGGAGCUGCUUAGUGUGAUGCUUGGUUUUGCUUGGGCUCUGAUAAUGCUGGAGUCUGGAUGGUCACUGAGGCUGGAGCUGGCACGCAGGGGUUCAGGACUGAAGCGUUGGACUGGGAGAGGCUCAGCUCCUUGUUUCACAUCAGGUAGGUGCUGCAGCUGUCCCAGCUCCUGAAGAACCACAGAAGCAAGAGAGUAGUAGAAAAUAUCUCACUUUAUUGAGCAUCUCCACGGAGUUUUACAAAACAAUAUUUACAGGCAAGGAGGGAACUAACUCAGCUCGUCUGGAGUGUGCUCUUCCAGGGCAAGGGCCAGAGGGAGGAAAUCAGAUCAGCACAUUCACAACUCCUGUUGCUGCCUUUGUCUUUACAAAAUGUAAGGAGGAUCUAAGAGGUGCCU